CAUCCUCUGCCGUGUACGACAGCACGCGCAAACAUUCGCCUUGUCCCUUAAUGACGACCACGGGACGGCGACGGAGACCGGGAGUGCAUGUCCGCCACGCAGCGGGAAGCCCGAUGGUCCCCAAACCGUCCCACUUGAACCCCGGGUUCAAGGUCGUUUCGCGGGCAUCGUCAUGGCGGAGGAUGU
Molecule: non-coding RNA, 186 nt
Filed under: Pseudoxanthomonas helianthi
Lineage: Bacteria; Pseudomonadati; Pseudomonadota; Gammaproteobacteria; Lysobacterales; Lysobacteraceae
Also listed under: 1 other name
Description: 6S / SsrS RNA
Rfam family: 6S / SsrS RNA
About the family: E. coli 6S RNA was the first non coding RNA to be sequenced, but its function was unknown until recently. It consists of 184 nucleotides that fold into an extended hairpin structure with a large single-stranded internal bulge.
Source: Rfam by way of RNAcentral